Molecule: non-coding RNA, 88 nt
Organism: Yersinia intermedia ATCC 29909
Lineage: Bacteria; Pseudomonadati; Pseudomonadota; Gammaproteobacteria; Enterobacterales; Yersiniaceae
Source: Rfam
AGAAACGGUGAACUGGGUGGGGGCAUCGCAAGAUGCGCCGGGUUCUUUGGUAACCGGUAGUUCCAACCUCGCUCAGUUCACCACCCAU